This 253-nucleotide long non-coding RNA is filed under the name Physcomitrium patens. RNAcentral's name for it is "long non-coding RNA (PPAT_LNC002154)". The record is from RNAcentral. Lineage: Eukaryota; Viridiplantae; Streptophyta; Bryopsida; Funariales; Funariaceae.
CCACAUUAAUGUUACUUGGCUGUCAAUUUGAAAGUUGAUACAAAUAUUCCAAUAGUGAUUUCUCCUUCUUCAAGCAUUAAAUUCAACUCAAAAUUGGUGUUUAGCUUGAUCUUUAAUUCUUCUAAUACCAAGUCAAAUUUCACCUUGAUCUAACUAGUAGAUCUUCAAAAAUCAUAGAAACUCUAUCUAAUCUCAAAUUGCCAACUUUUGAUACCUUCUUGUACUGACAUCCAAAUAUCUUCUAACUGCACUA